UACGGAGGGAGCUAGCGUUGUUCGGAAUUACUGGGCGUAAAGCGCGCGUAGGCGGGUUGGUAAGUCCGCUGUGAAAGCCCGGAGCUCAACUCCGGAGGGUCGGUGGAUACUGCCAGUCUUGAAGGUGCUAGGGGGAGAUGGAAUUACCGGUGUAGCGGUGAAAUGCGUAGAGAUCGGUAGGAACACCAGUGGCGAAGGCGGUCUCCUGGGGCAUACUUGACGCUGAGGCGCGAAAGCUGGGGGAGCGAACGGG
RNAcentral lists this ribosomal RNA (253 nucleotides) under uncultured bacterium. RNAcentral's name for it is "partial 16S ribosomal RNA". It matches the Rfam family "Bacterial small subunit ribosomal RNA", at positions 524 to 776 of the family's 1533-position model. The record is from RNAcentral.